Molecule: ribosomal RNA, 447 nt
Filed under: uncultured bacterium
Lineage: Bacteria
Description: bacterial SSU rRNA
Rfam family: Bacterial small subunit ribosomal RNA
Source: RNAcentral
UCCAGACUCCUACGGGAGGCAGUAGUGGGGGAUAUUGCACAAUGGGGGAAACCCUGAUGCAGCGACGCCGCGUGGGUGAAGAAGCGCCUCGGCGCGUAAAGCCCUGUCAGCAGGGAAGAAAAUGACGGUACCUGAAGAAGAAGCCCCGGCUAACUACGUGCCAGCAGCCGCGGUAAUACGUAGGGGGCAAGCGUUAUCCGGAUUUACUGGGUGUAAAGGGAGCGUAGACGGCGAUGCAAGCCAGAUGUGAAAGCCCGGGGCUCAACCCCGGGACUGCAUUUGGAACUGUAUAGCUAGAGUGUCGGAGAGGCAGGCGGAAUUCCUAGUGUAGCGGUGAAAUGCGUAGAUAUUAGGAGGAACACCAGUGGCGAAGGCGGCCUGCUGGACGAUGACUGACGUUGAGGCUCGAAAGCGUGGGGAGCAAACAGGAUUAGAUACCCUAGUAUA